GACGAACCGUGCAAGCGUUAUUCGGAAUCACUGGGCAUAAAGGGCGCGUAGGCGGCUCCAAAAGUCAGGGGUGAAAUCCGGCAGCUUAACUGUCGCAGUGCCUUUGAUACUGUGGAGCUAGAGGGAGGUAGGGGUCUGUGGAACUUCCGGUGGAGCGGUGAAAUGCGUUGAUAUCGGAAGGAACGCCGGUGGCGAAAGCGACGGACUGGAUCUCAUCUGACGCUGAGGCGCGAAAGCCAGGGGAGCAAACGGG
RNAcentral lists this ribosomal RNA (253 nucleotides) under uncultured bacterium. RNAcentral's name for it is "partial 16S ribosomal RNA". It matches the Rfam family "Bacterial small subunit ribosomal RNA", at positions 524 to 776 of the family's 1533-position model. The record is from RNAcentral.